Non-coding RNA from Ictidomys tridecemlineatus (thirteen-lined ground squirrel), 341 nucleotides. The record is from RefSeq and is a predicted model, not a curated record. Lineage: Eukaryota; Metazoa; Chordata; Mammalia; Rodentia; Sciuridae.
UCUUCCCCUUGAGAGGACAGUAGAAGGCAGUAGAGAAUACAGAACCAACAGUCCUGACAGCCGCAGAGUCUGGAGUCCAAAGCCCGGGCUGGACAGAAUCUGCAGCUGAGCUCUGAAGGGUCAACAACCCCAGCUAGAGGGCUUAAAUCACGUGGGAGAAAUGUCAACCCAAAGGAAAUCUUUUGGGAAGAACCUGGAUCAAGUGAAAUGGAAACUCCAAGAAGAGUGAGAACACCUCCAGAGAACAGCAGCACUCUGUUUUCUGGCACAGUCAGCUGCACUGAGCCCCACACACAGGUUGCUGAUGUCUCAGUUGAGCUACAAAAAACACUCUAAUUGCC